CGAACUGUGCGAACGUUAUUCGGAAUCACUGGGCUUAAAGGGUGCGUAGGCGGCGGCACAAGUCAGGUGUGAAAUCCCCCGGCUCAACCGGGGAAUAGCGCUUGAAACUAGGCCGCUCGAGUGAGGCAGGGGUGCAUGGAACUUCCGGUGGAGCGGUGAAAUGUGUAGAGAUCGGAAGGAACGCCGGCGGCGAAAGCGGUGCACUGGGCCUUGUCUGACGCUGAGGCACGAAAGCUAGGGGAGUGAACGGGAUUAGAUACCCCGGUAAUCCUAGCCGUAAACACUGAGCACUGGAGGGGAGGGGCUUCGGCCUUUUCCCUCGCAGCGAAAGCGUUAAGUGCUCCGCCUGGGGAGUAUGGUCGCAAGGCUG
Molecule: ribosomal RNA, 370 nt
Filed under: uncultured organism
Description: bacterial SSU rRNA
Rfam family: Bacterial small subunit ribosomal RNA
Source: RNAcentral